Molecule: long non-coding RNA, 205 nt
Filed under: Homo sapiens (human)
Lineage: Eukaryota; Metazoa; Chordata; Mammalia; Primates; Hominidae
Description: HSALNT0275674
Source: RNAcentral
ACGAGAGAGAAGUCUUGGCCUUCAACAGAAAAUGGUCAAACUAGAAAGAGUAACACUUUUGAGCUCCUCAGUGAAUGUGGCCUUGGAAAACCCCUUCACCUGGGCAGCAAAGGAAGAGGGAGAAAGACAGAGCCUGAACUGGUGCAGAAAUCCCUUGCUCAGAGACAAAAAUUCUCUAAAUUGAGACUUUGGAGGAGACCAAAAG